CAGCCGCCGCGGUAAUACGUAGGGUGCGAGCGUUAAUCGGAAUUACUGGGCGUAAAGCGUGCGCAGGCGGUUCGUUAAGACAGAUGUGAAAUCCCCGGGCUUAACCUGGGAACUGCAUUUGUGACUGGCGAGCUAGAGUAUGGCAGAGGGGGGUAGAAUUCCACGUGUAGCAGUGAAAUGCGUAGAGAUGUGGAGGAAUACCGAUGGCGAAGGCAGCCCCCUGGGCCAAUACUGACGCUCAUGCACGAAAGCGUGGGGAGCAAACAGGAUUAGAUACCCGUGUAGUCCCUGUCUCUUAUAA
Molecule: ribosomal RNA, 301 nt
Filed under: uncultured bacterium
Lineage: Bacteria
Description: partial 16S ribosomal RNA
Rfam family: Bacterial small subunit ribosomal RNA
Source: RNAcentral